GUUGCAUUUAAAUAUGCAGUUAACAGAUCAUCUUAAUCGUCUUCCCCAGACCUAGCUUCAAAAGCAUUCACCCAGUUCUCACAUGUGUGAGUGAAAAUCACUUAGAUUUUGACUUGGCUAUUAAAUGGCCUCAAGCAAAAGCAAGUCAACCAAAUUAGAAAGAAGGCAAAGUGCUAUGGGCUUUGGAGCGAGAUGACUGUGAAGUUCAAUCUGGAUUCCUCCAUUUACUACAUGUCACUAGUGCUAGAUGCUACUUAGCCUCUUUGGGCCUCAGUUUUCUCAUCUGUAAAAUGGAAAUAAUGAGUCCAACUUAACAGGUUUGUUACAGCAAUUAAAUAACCGAUGUAUUGUGCACAGUGCCAGGCAUGUAGUGAGCCCUCACCAUGUGAAUGGCAGCACCAGCAUCCACAUCAGCUCAUCAUCUUCAUCAGUGGCAUUACCUGAAACACUCUGUCCUCAUCCGUGACAUACAUUAGAGGAAAACAGCCUUGUUUUCUUUAGGUUUUGUAUUCUCCCAAGGCUGAAACUUGUAUUUGUAAUGCUACAACUUUGAUAAUUUUUUCCCUUAAGAGUUCCUUCAGCAGCAUUUUUUUCCUACCAACUUGCAUGUGUAGAGUUAUUCAGUAGAUGACACCGAAGAGUUUCAUAGUGAAUGUUUGUUGAGUGAAUGUAUGAAAUGUGGUUUUGAUAGCCAGGAGUGAUGUGGCACAGGUGGUUGUGUGGGGUUAGGGAUGGCUAGCCCAUCAACCCAAUCAUAUGGAAAUUCCUUUUCAUUAUACUGCAAAGCAGCCAGCUAGAAAUGGAAAAUCUAGUUAACUAGUUCUUUUAUGGAAAACAUCCAAGUUGGUAGAAGUUUUUUUCACUGAAUGUCUCCUAACACCUCCCUGAUGGCCUGGCUAGAUUGACUCAUUAUUUCCAACCGACCAGCUUGACCUGACAGAGCUUCUGUGACAGAACCCCUGCCCAAAGCUCCUUCUAUCCCCAAAGCGCUCUGCUGGCUGCUCUGGAGAGCGCAGGUUUGACAAUCUCCAGUCUCCCCUCCAUUGAGUCUUAACUGUUUCUAACAAUCAUUUCACGGCUGAACCCCAAUUUGCAUCAUGGGUAUAGACAAGGGGUAGAAUACUAGUAUUAAACAGUUGAAUACGUGGCAAAUGGGAGUAGAAUUAAGACAAACAAACAACAGUAAAGAGAUCAAGAAGCCUGCUAGUGUGAAAGGCAGUUUGGGCUGCUAAGUCAUAUCUUCCCAAGGGGUAAUAUACAAGCAACUGGAAACAAGAGGUGUCUUCUUAACAAUAGAGUCAGACAUACAUACACCCUUCAAUCUUUUAGUAAUACUUUGGGUUAAAAAAUGUUUAAAUAUUAGGCCUAUAUUUUCCUUUAUUACCAGAGCCUCUUCUUCCAGAUUCUAUCAGAAAGCUAAUACUAACAAUAAUGUCGUAUAGGUUCUAAGAUUGUGGGAAACCUCACUUCAAAGCCCCUUCAUUAGAAGCUCAGACUUCCAUACUAGCACCUAGUUUCAGGCCCAUGUUGGGACUAAUUACUGCCACUGGGUUUGUCGUGAGCCAUCGCACCUGGCGAACCUACCUAUAUCUUUCUUUGAAUGUGCUCAGACCAAGGGUCUUAUCUUAAAGGAAUAUCAGACCAGAGCACCAGACCUAUGGCUGAGAAACACCUUUUUUACCCCAGCACACAUUUUCCCAUCCAUCCAUUCAUCCAUCUCCAACAAAUAACCUUACACAGCUUCCCCACUCUGAAAGGUAGAUACCAUAUCUGUCUACUUUAUCUCCAAAUCAUAGUCCAUAGCCAGCAGAGCGUAACCACCAAAGGAAUAUUUGUUCAAUAAAUAAGUGAACAGUUAUAAAAUGCCCACUAUAUUGGCAUAGUCAUACAUAUAUGAUGAAGCACAGUCCCUGCCUUCUUGAUACUCACAGUUGUUUUUCAGGAUAGCUUUGUACCCCAUCAGAAAAAAAUAGAUUUCAAGGCCGCUAAUGUUCCUUUUAUAUUCCAUUGGCUGGCCGUGUCAAUAUUGACUGUGUAAUGCACUGACAGAUGCGCAGUUCCCUUCAGAGAGAAAUGAGAAAAAAAAAAAAAACAGCUUCACAUCAGGCAAAUUUUGAUUAUUUCUUUCUAAAGUGCACAGCACCUCCAGUCACUAAUGGUUGUAAGAGACUUCGGGGACACUAAUCUUAAUGCGCCAUUUCCUAUAGGUCUUGUUAGUUCCUAAAACCAUCUGUAAGAAGUUAUUGUAUUUGGCUUUCUUCAGCCAUAUUUUUUAAGCACGACAUUUAAUUAGUGCUUGUUAAGAUGUUUCAAGUGCUUUGGCCACUUCUCUCACCCCUGCUGUUUCUUCAUGGUCAGCAUAUUUUCUGGAAAUGUUGUUUUCGGGAAAGGGCAUCAGAUGCGUCUGUGUCUGGAGAAUUGCUCUGUGUAUCCAUGUGAAGCAAGUCUCUGAGAGCAACUGGAGGGACUGUCAGGCUGGCUGUGGGGCCUCCGUGUUCACAGCAGCUACUUUGAAAGGCCUCCAGUUUUGACGUUCUCAUGGAAAAAGCAGAGACCUCAAAAUGGGUUUGGAACCGACAACAAUAGGAGGGUACACUGGAGCCCUGGAGAAGAAUGUCACAUAAGUGAAAUGUAUUUGAAAUAUUUAAUCUAGGAACCUUUGGAUUAACUUCAUUAAAAAGAGUUUGCUUGAAAGGGCAUAAUUUUUGCUCGAAGAGACCUUAUGAAAACUGCAAAAUGGUUGAUGGUACUGAAAUAUCCACCCAUGCUCACUAAAGGAAUAAAUAGGUUGAAUAUAAUUCCAUUAUUUUU
RNAcentral lists this long non-coding RNA (2811 nucleotides) under Homo sapiens (human). Its description in RNAcentral is "HSALNT0307384". Lineage: Eukaryota; Metazoa; Chordata; Mammalia; Primates; Hominidae. The record is from RNAcentral.